CAGCAGCCGCGGUAAUACGUAGGGUGCGAGCGUUAAUCGGAAUUACUGGGCGUAAAGCGUGCGCAGGCGGUUCGUUAAGACAGAUGUGAAAUCCCCGGGCUUAACCUGGGAACUGCAUUUGUGACUGGCGAGCUAGAGUAUGGCAGAGGGGGGUAGAAUUCCACGUGUAGCAGUGAAAUGCGUAGAGAUGUGGAGGAAUACCGAUGGCGAAGGCAGCCCCCUGGGCCAAUACUGACGCUCAUGCACGAAAGCGUGGGGAGCAAACAGGAUUAGAUACCCCGGUAGUCCCUGUCUCUUAUAC
Molecule: ribosomal RNA, 301 nt
Filed under: uncultured bacterium
Lineage: Bacteria
Description: partial 16S ribosomal RNA
Rfam family: Bacterial small subunit ribosomal RNA
Source: RNAcentral